RNAcentral lists this ribosomal RNA (1147 nucleotides) under Enterococcus faecium. RNAcentral describes it as "bacterial SSU rRNA". It matches the Rfam family "Bacterial small subunit ribosomal RNA", at positions 92 to 1226 of the family's 1533-position model. Lineage: Bacteria; Bacillati; Bacillota; Bacilli; Lactobacillales; Enterococcaceae. The record is from RNAcentral.
GGAGUGGCGAACGGGUGAGUAACACGUGGGUAACCUGCCCAUCAGAAGGGGAUAACACUUGGAAACAGGUGCUAAUACCGUAUAACAAUCAAAACCGCAUGGUUUUGAUUUGAAAGGCGCUUUCGGGUGUCGCUGAUGGAUGGACCCGCGGUGCAUUAGCUAGUUGGUGAGGUAACGGCUCACCAAGGCCACGAUGCAUAGCCGACCUGAGAGGGUGAUCGGCCACAUUGGGACUGAGACACGGCCCAAACUCCUACGGGAGGCAGCAGUAGGGAAUCUUCGGCAAUGGACGAAAGUCUGACCGAGCAACGCCGCGUGAGUGAAGAAGGUUUUCGGAUCGUAAAACUCUGUUGUUAGAGAAGAACAAGGAUGAGAGUAACUGUUCAUCCCUUGACGGUAUCUAACCAGAAAGCCACGGCUAACUACGUGCCAGCAGCCGCGGUAAUACGUAGGUGGCAAGCGUUGUCCGGAUUUAUUGGGCGUAAAGCGAGCGCAGGCGGUUUCUUAAGUCUGAUGUGAAAGCCCCCGGCUCAACCGGGGAGGGUCAUUGGAAACUGGGAGACUUGAGUGCAGAAGAGGAGAGUGGAAUUCCAUGUGUAGCGGUGAAAUGCGUAGAUAUAUGGAGGAACACCAGUGGCGAAGGCGGCUCUCUGGUCUGUAACUGACGCUGAGGCUCGAAAGCGUGGGGAGCAAACAGGAUUAGAUACCCUGGUAGUCCACGCCGUAAACGAUGAGUGCUAAGUGUUGGAGGGUUUCCGCCCUUCAGUGCUGCAGCUAACGCAUUAAGCACUCCGCCUGGGGAGUACGACCGCAAGGUUGAAACUCAAAGGAAUUGACGGGGGCCCGCACAAGCGGUGGAGCAUGUGGUUUAAUUCGAAGCAACGCGAAGAACCUUACCAGGUCUUGACAUCCUUUGACCACUCUAGAGAUAGAGCUUCCCCUUCGGGGGCAAAGUGACAGGUGGUGCAUGGUUGUCGUCAGCUCGUGUCGUGAGAUGUUGGGUUAAGUCCCGCAACGAGCGCAACCCUUAUUGUUAGUUGCCAUCAUUCAGUUGGGCACUCUAGCAAGACUGCCGGUGACAAACCGGAGGAAGGUGGGGAUGACGUCAAAUCAUCAUGCCCCUUAUGACCUGGGCUACACACGUGCU